Molecule: transfer RNA, 72 nt
Filed under: Marmota marmota marmota (Alpine marmot)
Lineage: Eukaryota; Metazoa; Chordata; Mammalia; Rodentia; Sciuridae
Also listed under: 2 other names
Rfam family: tRNA
About the family: Transfer RNA (tRNA) molecules are approximately 80 nucleotides in length. Their secondary structure includes four short double-helical elements and three loops (D, anti-codon, and T loops).
Source: Rfam by way of RNAcentral
GGAGGUAUAGCUCAGUGGUAGAGCACAUGCCUCACAUGCUCAAGGCCCUGGGAUCAAUCCCCAGCACCCCCC